AACGAACGCUGGCGGCAGGCCUAACACAUGCAAGUCGAGCGAGGACUUCGGUUCUAGCGGCGGACGGGUGAGUAACGCGUGGGAAUGUGCCCUUCUCUACGGAAUAGCCCUGGGAAACUGGGAGUAAUACCGUAUACGCCCUAUUGGGGAAAGAUUUAUCGGAGAAGGAUCAGCCCGCGUUGGAUUAGGUAGUUGGUGGGGUAAUGGCCUACCAAGCCGACGAUCCAUAGCUGGUUUGAGAGGAUGAUCAGCCACACUGGGACUGAGACACGGCCCAGACUCCUACGGGAGGCAGCAGUGGGGAAUCUUAGACAAUGGGGGCAACCCUGAUCUAGCCAUGCCGCGUGAGUGAUGAAGGCCUUAGGGUUGUAAAGCUCUUUCAGCUGGGAAGAUAAUGACGGUACCAGCAGAAGAAGCCCCGGCGAACUCCGU
RNAcentral lists this ribosomal RNA (432 nucleotides) under uncultured bacterium. RNAcentral describes it as "partial 16S ribosomal RNA". It matches the Rfam family "Bacterial small subunit ribosomal RNA", at positions 29 to 506 of the family's 1533-position model. The record is from RNAcentral.